RNAcentral lists this ribosomal RNA (505 nucleotides) under uncultured bacterium. RNAcentral describes it as "partial 16S ribosomal RNA". It matches the Rfam family "Bacterial small subunit ribosomal RNA", at positions 28 to 507 of the family's 1533-position model. The record is from RNAcentral.
GACGAACGCUGGCGGCGUGCCUAAUACAUGCAAGUAGAACGCACAGUUUAUACCGUAGCUUGCUACACCAUAGACUGUGAGUUGCGAACGGGUGAGUAACGCGUAGGUAACCUGCCUGGUAGCGGGGGAUAACUAUUGGAAACGAUAGCUAAUACCGCAUAAUAUUAAUUAUUGCAUGAUAAUUAAUUGAAAGGUGCAAUUGCACCACUACCAGAUGGACCUGCGUUGUAUUAGCUAGUAGGUGAGGUAACGGCUCACCUAGGCGACGAUACAUAGCCGACCUGAGAGGGUGAUCGGCCACACUGGGACUGAGACACGGCCCAGACUCCUACGGGAGGCAGCAGUAGGGAAUCUUCGGCAAUGGACGAAAGUCUGACCGAGCAACGCCGCGUGAGUGAAGAAGGUUUUCGGAUCGUAAAGCUCUGUUGUAAGAGAAGAAUGGGUGUGAGAGUGGAAAGUUCACACUGUGACGGUAGCUUACCAGAAAGGGACGGCUAACUACGUG